The sequence is a ribosomal RNA, 436 nucleotides long. It matches the Rfam family "Bacterial large subunit ribosomal RNA", at positions 1 to 441 of the family's 2925-position model.
GGUCAAGCUACAAAGGGCGCAUGGUGAAUGCCUUGGCACUAGGAGCCGAAGAAGGACGUGAUAAGCUGCGAUAAGCCUUGGGUAGCCGCAAAUAGGCAGAGAUCCAGGGAUUUCCGAAUGAGGGAACUCACAUGGGGAACCCCAUGUAUCAUGCACUGAAUACAUAGGUGUAUGAGGGUAAACCCGGGGAACUGAAACAUCUAAGUACCCGGAGGAAGAGAAAGAAAAAUCGAUUUCCUAAGUAGCGGCGAGCGAACGGGAAAGAGCCCAAACCAGAAACUUGUUUCUGGGGUUGAGGAUAGAUCAUAAAAGAAGAGGUAUCUUAAUCGAAAAGGGCUGGAACGCCCUACCAUAGAAGGUAAUAGUCCUGUAGAUGAAAAGAGAAAACUUCGAGAUCUAAUCCAGAGUACCACGAGACACGUGAAACCUUGUGGGA